RNAcentral lists this ribosomal RNA (477 nucleotides) under uncultured organism. RNAcentral describes it as "partial 16S ribosomal RNA". It matches the Rfam family "Bacterial small subunit ribosomal RNA", at positions 329 to 797 of the family's 1533-position model. The record is from RNAcentral.
ACGUACACUCCUACGGGAGGCAGCAGUGGGGAAUUUUGGACAAUGGGCGAAAGCCUGAUCCAGCCAUGCCGCGUGCAGGAUGAAGGCCUUCGGGUUGUAAACUGCUUUUGUACGGAACGAAACGGCCUUUUCUAAUAAAGAGGGCUAAUGACGGUACCGUAAGAAUAAGCACCGGCUAACUACGUGCCAGCAGCCGCGGUAAUACGUAGGGUGCAAGCGUUAAUCGGAAUUACUGGGCGUAAAGCGUGCGCAGGCGGUUAUGUAAGACAGUUGUGAAAUCCCCGGGCUCAACCUGGGAACUGCAUCUGUGACUGCAUAGCUAGAGUACGGUAGAGGGGGAUGGAAUUCCGCGUGUAGCAGUGAAAUGCGUAGAUAUGCGGAGGAACACCGAUGGCGAAGGCAAUCCCCUGGACCUGUACUGACGCUCAUGCACGAAAGCGUGGGGAGCAAACAGGAUUAGAUACCCCUGUAGUCCCA